Molecule: ribosomal RNA, 254 nt
Filed under: uncultured bacterium
Lineage: Bacteria
Description: partial 16S ribosomal RNA
Rfam family: Bacterial small subunit ribosomal RNA
Source: RNAcentral
UACGGGGGGAGCAAGCGUUGUUCGGAUUUACUGGGCGUAAAGGGCGCGUAGGCGGCCAGCACAAGUCAGUUGUGAAAUCUCCGAGCUUAACUCGGAACGGUCAACUGAUACUGUGCGGCUAGAGUGCAGAAGGGGCAACUGGAAUUCUUGGUGUAGAGGUGAAAUUCGUAGAUAUCAGGAGGAAUACCGAUGGCGAAGGCAGGUCUCUGGGCUGACACUGACGCUCAUGCACGAAAGCGUGGGGAGCAAACAGG